This 253-nucleotide ribosomal RNA is filed under the name uncultured bacterium. Its description in RNAcentral is "partial 16S ribosomal RNA". It matches the Rfam family "Bacterial small subunit ribosomal RNA", at positions 524 to 776 of the family's 1533-position model. The record is from RNAcentral.
UACGUAGGUGGCAAGCGUUGUCCGGAUUUAUUGGGCGUAAAGGGCGCGCAGGUGGUGUGCUAAGUCUGCCGUGAAAUCUCCCGGCUCAACUGGGAGGCUGCGGUGGAGACUGGUGCGCUUGAGGUACCUAGAGGUCGGUGGAAUUCCCGGUGUAGUGGUGAAAUGCGUAGAUAUCGGGAGGAACACCUGUGGCGAAAGCGGCUCACUGGACCACAACUGACGCUGAUGCACGAAAGCUAGGGGAGCAAACAGG